UACGGAGGAUCCAAGCGUUAUCCGGAUUUAUUGGGUUUAAAGGGUGUGUAGGUGGCGCGCUAAGUCGGGUGUGAAAUUUCGGAGCUUAACUCCGAAACUGCAUUCGAUACUGGCGUGCUUGAGGACUGGAGAGGAGACUGGAAUUCAUGGUGUAGCAGUGAAAUGCGUAGAGAUCAUGAGGAAGACCAGUGGCGAAGGCGGGUCUCUGGACAGUUCCUGACACUGAGACACGAAGGCCAGGGGAGCAAACGGG
This 253-nucleotide ribosomal RNA is filed under the name uncultured bacterium. RNAcentral's name for it is "partial 16S ribosomal RNA". It matches the Rfam family "Bacterial small subunit ribosomal RNA", at positions 524 to 776 of the family's 1533-position model. The record is from RNAcentral.